RNAcentral lists this ribosomal RNA (504 nucleotides) under uncultured bacterium. RNAcentral describes it as "partial 16S ribosomal RNA". It matches the Rfam family "Bacterial small subunit ribosomal RNA", at positions 30 to 523 of the family's 1533-position model. The record is from RNAcentral.
AUUGAACGCUGGCGGCAGGCCUAACACAUGCAAGUCGAGCGGUAGCACAGAGAGCUUGCUCUCGGGUGACGAGCGGCGGACGGGUGAGUAAUGUCUGGGAAACUGCCUGAUGGAGGGGGAUAACUACUGGAAACGGUAGCUAAUACUGCAUAAUGUCGCAAGACCAAAGAGGGGGACCUUCGGGCCUCUUGCCAUCAGAUGUGCCCAGCUGGGAUCAGCUAGUAGGUGGGGUAACGGCUCACCUAGGAGACGAUCCCUAGCUGGUCUGAGAGGAUGACCAGCCACACUGGAACUGAGACACGGUCCAGACGCCUCCGGGAGGCAGCAGUGGGGAAUAUUGCACAAGGGGCGCAAGCCUGAUGCAGCCAUGCCGCGUGUAUGAAGAAGGCCUUCGGGUUGUAAAGUACUUUCAGCGGGGAGGAAGGUGCUGAGGUUAAUAACCUCAGCAAUUGACGUUACCCGCAGAAGAAGCACCGGCUAACUCCUUGCCAGCAGCCGCAGUAA